UCCCUAGUGGCUCAGACGGUAAAGAAUCUGCCUGUGAUGCAGGCAAUCCGGGUUCGAUCCCUGGGUUGGGAA
This 72-nucleotide transfer RNA is filed under the name Bos taurus (domestic cattle). It matches the Rfam family "tRNA". Rfam says of the family: Transfer RNA (tRNA) molecules are approximately 80 nucleotides in length. Their secondary structure includes four short double-helical elements and three loops (D, anti-codon, and T loops). Further hydrogen bonds mediate the characteristic L-shaped molecular structure. tRNAs have two regions of fundamental functional importance: the anti-codon, which is responsible for specific mRNA codon recognition, and the 3' end, to which the tRNAs corresponding amino acid is attached (by aminoacyl-tRNA synthetases). tRNAs cope with the degeneracy of the genetic code in two manners: having more than one tRNA (with a specific anti-codon) for a particular amino acid; and 'wobble' base-pairing, i.e. permitting non-standard base-pairing at the 3rd anti-codon position. RNAcentral also lists the same sequence under 4 other names. The record is from Rfam by way of RNAcentral. Lineage: Eukaryota; Metazoa; Chordata; Mammalia; Artiodactyla; Bovidae.